RNAcentral lists this ribosomal RNA (875 nucleotides) under Geliporus exilisporus. RNAcentral describes it as "eukaryotic LSU rRNA". It matches the Rfam family "Eukaryotic large subunit ribosomal RNA", at positions 74 to 955 of the family's 3401-position model. Lineage: Eukaryota; Fungi; Basidiomycota; Agaricomycetes; Polyporales; Phanerochaetaceae. The record is from RNAcentral.
AUUCCCCUAGUAACUGCGAGUGAAGCGGGAAAAGCUCAAAUUUAAAAUCUGGCAGUCUUUGGCUGUCCGAGUUGUAGUCUGGAGAAGCGUUUUCCGCGCUGGACCGUGUACAAGUCUCCUGGAACGGAGCGUCAUAGAGGGUGAGAAUCCCGUCUUUGACACGGACUACCAGUGCUUUGUGAUGCGCUCUCAAAGAGUCGAGUUGUUUGGGAAUGCAGCUCAAAAUGGGUGGUAAACUCCAUCUAAAGCUAAAUAUUGGCGAGAGACCGAUAGCGAACAAGUACCGUGAGGGAAAGAUGAAAAGCACUUUGGAAAGAGAGUUAAACAGUACGUGAAAUUGCUGAAAGGGAAACGCUUGAAGUCAGUCGCGUCUGCUAGAACUCAGCCUAGCCUCGGCUUGGUGCAUUUUCUAGUAGACGGGCCAGCAUCACUUUUGGUUGCGGGAUAAAGGUCGCAGGAAUGUGGCACCUUCGGGUGUGUUAUAGCCUGUGAUUGUAUACCGUGGCUGGGAGUGAGGAACUCAGCACGCUCACGCUGUGCUUAGGAUGCUGGCGUAAUGGCUUUAAACGACCCGUCUUGAAACACGGACCAAGGAGUCUAACAUGCCUGCGAGUGUUUGGGUGGAAAACCCGAGCGCGUAAUGAAAGUGAAAGUUGGGACCUCUGUCGUGGAGGGCACCGACGCCCGGACCAGACCUUCUGUGACGGAUCCGCGGUAGAGCAUGUAUGUUGGGACCCGAAAGAUGGUGAACUAUGCCUGAAUAGGGUGAAGCCAGAGGAAACUCUGGUGGAGGCUCGUAGCGAUUCUGACGUGCAAAUCGAUCGUCAAAUUUGGGUAUAGGGGCGAAAGACUAAUCGAACCAUCUAGUAGCUGGU